RNAcentral lists this long non-coding RNA (2515 nucleotides) under Homo sapiens (human). RNAcentral's name for it is "HSALNT0285553". The record is from RNAcentral. Lineage: Eukaryota; Metazoa; Chordata; Mammalia; Primates; Hominidae.
CCACACCCGGCUAAGGUUCACUCUUGAUUGGCUACAGCCAUCCCUGUUGUACACAGAGUUCCCCAAACCUCUGGACUGUGAUCCAGAGGGUUCUUUCUGGCUGUCUCUUUUCUUGGUUUUCUCUAAGUAUUCUCCAAGACCUCUACUGGUCACAGAUUUCACCACUCUCUAUUCUAAAUAAAGUUAGUUAGUUAUACAGGCUCAUGCCUGUAACCCUAGCACUUCGGGGACUGAGGCAGGAAGAUCGCUUGAGCAGUAAGCUGUGAGCCGUGAUCAUGCCACUGCACUCCAGCCUGGAUGACAGAGGGAGACCCUGUCUCUAAAUAAAUAAACAAACAAACAAACAAACAAAUAAAGUUAGUCCCUUCAGGCCAAACAGCAGAGCUCUUAGAAAUUACAGCCCAUCUUCCCCCUAGAAAAUCCACUGUGUCACUCUUGUUGACUAGGGACACAGAGCCACUCUUUACAAAAUGACAUCCUGUUCUAUUCUUAGAACAGGACACUGGAAGGCUAUAGUAACCCCUACUCUUCAUGGUUUGCCCAUUCUGCCACAGAACUAGGAUGGUUGUUGAUAGUGUCCCAUUAUUCUGGGUUGUCACCACCUCUCAUGCUCCCUCUUCUCUUUCUCCUGGCCUCCAGGCUAGGAGUAAGCCCAGAAGUAUUUGUAGUAGGGUUUUGGGAUGACAAUCUAUUGUAUGUGUUGUGUCCCUGAUGGGCUAUCUCUGUUGCCUGAAGAGGCAGGGAGGCACGGGCUUCAGAAAGCUAGAGAAGAAACUUCUCAUCCUUUGCCACUUGCCCAGGGAGAACCUAUUUUUCUCUUUAAGGGAGCUAACUGCUGGCAAGUGCACAAAGGAUGAUUGAGACUAACAACAGGCUGGGCACGGUGGCGCAUGCCUGUAACCCCAGCACUUUGGGAGGCCGAGGUGGGUGGAUCACCUGAGGUCAGGAGUUCGAGACCAGCCUGGCCAACAUGGUGAAACCUCAUCAUCUCUACUAAAAAUACAAAAAAUAGCUGGCGUGGUGGUGCACACCUGUAAUCCUAGCUACUCGGGAGGCUGAGGCAGGAGAAUCACUCGAACCUGGGAGCGGAGUGUGCAGUGAGCCAAGAUCAUGCCAUUGCACUCCAGCCUGGGCAAUAAGAGCAAAACUCUGUCUCAAAAAAAAAAAAGAAGAAGAAGAAGAAGAAGAAAAAAAAAAAUCGAGACCUAACAACAAAACAGAAGAGUCAUUCACAACCCUAUUGAGAGGAAAAACGUCUUCACAAAUACAAAAGUGUUUCAAGGAAAAAUUGAAGUCACUCCUGCCCACAUCCACUGCCCAGUGUAACCGCCCUUAAAGAUUGCUGUGUAUUUGUGUACUAAUUUUUCUGUGUUUAUAAAAUCAUUCAUAUAUUUAUUAAUAACAUGUUUAGAAGAAAUCUCUGCAUUAACCUCAGGGCACACAGCUGUCUUUGAUCGCCCCCAACUCCUCAGAAUGUCCUGCCUCCAUUUCACUCUCCCACAGCUGACUUUCUCCCAUGCUUAGGCCCCCCAAGAGCACCUGCUGAAAAACUACUUCCAACCUUAAGCUCAGGCCCUGACUCACAGCCCUUUAUUCUAACAGAGCCCCUAGGUGUUUGGGCAGAGGUAGGUGGGUAUUACGAGGGAAGCGGGAGGAGGACAGUGAGGCCCCUUAAGUUCUUUGUCCUGGCCAGGCGGCUGCCCUCCUGCAUUACAGGUCUCCACAGGAUAGGUCCCAAUUCCCAACUACUUUCAAUUGGUGGGGUGUGGAUUGGCAGGAUGGGUUAAUGCUCUGCCACAACUUUCUCACUUUAUAAUGGGAGCUGUAUGGUAAAUUCACCUGAUAGUAAUAACUUAAGCAUAUCCUGAGAAUGAUCCUGUAUGGCAGACGCACCUGAAUCCUGAAUGUGUGUUUGAAGUUCUGAGCUAAGAAAUCUGGGGGUGGCCAACACAGAGAUUCAUUUCUUAUUUAUGAAGAAGCUGUGAACCCCCAGCCGUCCCGUCCCAUGGAAUGUGGGCUAUACAGGGGUUCAAGGCCCUGUAUUUUGGGUUAAAUGAAGACUGCCAGGUGGAGGUUGUUAGGGGGAGGCUGUGAAGUGAAAAUACUAUAUAAGGCCGGGCGCGGUGGCUCACACCUGUAAUCCCAGCACUUUGGGAGGCCGAGGUGGGCGGAUCAUGGGGUCAAGAGAUCGAGACCAUCCUGGCCAACAUGGUGAAACCCCGUCUCUACUAAAAAUACAAAAAAGUUAGCUGGGCAUGUUAGCACGUGCGUGUAGUCCCAGCUACUCGGGAGGCUGAGGCAGGAGAAUCGCUUGAACCCAGGAGGUGGAGGUUGCAGUGAGCCGAGACCGCGCCACUGCACUCCAGCCUGGCGACUGAUCGAGACUCCAUCUCAAAAUAAAACCCUCUAUAAAUUGUGUGACUUUAUUUUGCAAGUGGUUGUGGUUCUGUUGUCCAGCCCACUGUCGUUGGGUCUUGUUCCCCAAUUGUAAGCCCUCAAUAAAACCUCAUGUCUC